Molecule: unclassified non-coding RNA, 342 nt
Filed under: Hevea brasiliensis (rubber tree)
Lineage: Eukaryota; Viridiplantae; Streptophyta; Magnoliopsida; Malpighiales; Euphorbiaceae
Source: RNAcentral
UUUCUCCUUCUCUACGUAACAUCACCCUCAUAUAGCUAGCCAACAAACUAUUUUUCUAGGUUGGAACUACCACAGAGUGCAUAGCAUAAAGAUUCUGCCUGUCUGAAUGAGGUCUCCUGGACAAAGCAUUAGCAGCCUUAUUUUCAACUUCCUUCCUAUGUAGAAUUCUAUAAUCCUGACCCAACAACUUAGAAAUGCCCUUCUACUGCAAGUUAUUGUGAAGCCUUUGGUCAAGCAAGUACUUGAUACUCUCAUGGUCAGUCUUUAUGUAAAAUACACCCUGUUCCAAAUAAUGUCUCCAUUUGUUCACAGCAUAAGUAAUAGCCAACAGCUCUUUUUCAU